GGUGUGAAAAUGGACAAGGAUUUGGAAAGGGCUUUGAGGUGUAUCUGUGCUGGAUAGAGGACUGAGUUACUGUCAGAUGUACUCUCCUGGGUAUAUAUUUGCACCACUCCUGUCUGACAGUACACACAAAAAGCUGCUUCCUGAUGCUGUUUAUCCAAAACCCCACCUGCUGUCAAGGGCAGUGCUGGCCGUGUGAAACAUCUUCACAGCCAUGCAGCAGCUGUACCUAGUAGGCUUGAUUUCUGCAAUGAAUUACCAAGGGUCUUUUUUGUUCAGGAGAUCCUCAAGUACUGUACUCUGGAAAAAAAGAAGAGUGUCAACAAUGUAUUUGAACAUUAGCUGCCAGCAAGCUGGAUGAAUGAUUUGCCUUUCACAGUCACUGAAUGUCCUGAAGUAUCCCUGACAAGGUUGCAGAGAGUGAGACCAAGAACAAGGCAACCAAGACCACCUGAGUUAAGAGUCCUG
This 465-nucleotide long non-coding RNA is filed under the name Serinus canaria (Common canary). RNAcentral's name for it is "lncRNA (ENSSCAG00000007409.1)". The record is from RNAcentral. Lineage: Eukaryota; Metazoa; Chordata; Aves; Passeriformes; Fringillidae.